Molecule: long non-coding RNA, 754 nt
Organism: Homo sapiens (human)
Lineage: Eukaryota; Metazoa; Chordata; Mammalia; Primates; Hominidae
Product: long intergenic non-protein coding RNA 1491
Source: Ensembl
GACCACAGAAAAAGUAGCCAGCCCACCAUCCCUAGAUGAUUUUGCAGUCUUUGCACACCAGUGUGGCCAUAGGCUUGUUUUCUCCUGGACUGAGCCUGCAGAUCCUAUGAGCAAAAUCUGCAGGCAGAUGCUGAAACCAUGAAUACAGAGGGACAACUAUGUAAGCUCGUUAACGCUGACAUAGUUUUAUGAAUGCAAACAGCCAAGGAGAGCAGAUGUUGAGUGGUUGCCAGAGUGAAAUGAGGAAGCCCUGCUGCCAGCUUCCCACCAAAAAGCAGGCUCCGGCCCUGAACGCAGGAGAGUUGCUAAAGAAGUUGCUCACAGAGGCGGGAGAGAGCAGGCUACUGGUUUCCUUCAAAAUGGAAUAGGAAACAGAAAACGUGCAUCAUUUCUUCGCACUUGAAUCAGCAACAUGACACAGGACUUUGGCAUCAGACUACUAUCACACCAAAAAAAGAGGCUUCACUUGGAGUGCUGCCACUGGAUGGGGCCUGACUUGUUUAUCCGGAAAGAAGUGACUUCCCUGGGAAGAAGGUUGCAUUUGUGAAAGCUUGUGCAGCAUUUCAAGGCUGCAUUCAGGGGCUCUGACCUCCAGUGUCAGCCUUCCAAGGAGAGAAUGGUAGUGUAAUCAUGACUGGAGAGCAACUGUUCCAGAUAAGAAUAUUUUGGCAGAUUUUAAAAGCAACUAUUACUGGUGUUGAUUGACUUAAAAAUAUUUUAAAAAUAUAACAUGUUAUAAACCUCUUCAAUAUCA